This 118-nucleotide ribosomal RNA is filed under the name Pteropus alecto (black flying fox). Lineage: Eukaryota; Metazoa; Chordata; Mammalia; Chiroptera; Pteropodidae. The record is from RNAcentral.
GUCUAUGGCCAUGCUACCCUGAACAAGCCUGAUCCCAUCUGAUCUUGGAAGCUAAGCAGGGUCAGGCAUGGUUAGUAGUGGAUGGGAGACCACCUAGGAAGACCAGGUGCUGUAGGCA